UCUUGGUCAAGCAGAAGUUACCAGUCGUCUAUAUUGAUGGACCCAUGCUCUCAGAUCUUGGCUAUCAUGGACCUUCUGUGGACCAAUGAGCUUAACCUGGCCAAUUUGCACACUGACAGUUGCCGUCUUGCCCGAGGAGAUCCAGAGCAUCUGCAAUGUUCCCUCGCUCAUUCCAACAAAGCCUCUGCUGGAUUUGAUCCAGAGUAUGAGGCACUGCCCUAACCAUUAGAGAUGAAUGCCAUGUUGAAAAUAACUUCAAGUAUUCAGAAAGGAAUUGAUGGAUUCUGCUCCU
Long non-coding RNA from Amblyraja radiata (thorny skate), 292 nucleotides. RefSeq lists it as uncharacterized. NCBI's taxonomy places the organism in Eukaryota, Metazoa, Chordata, Chondrichthyes, Rajiformes, Rajidae. The transcript is spliced from 3 exons. The record is from RefSeq and is a predicted model, not a curated record.